UAUGUUUGCCUUGUAUGCGGGACCUUGCCAGGACGUGCCCGGCUGCACACACAUACGCACGCAAACAAUCCUCCAUGCACGCUGCCAAUGACAGUUGUCAACAUGACAGUUAUAAGGACACUGAUACAAAUGUUACGGAUGUUUGUCUUGGCCGGACAAGGAAUGUUGUUUACUGCUUGGCUUUUAGAGCUUUUUUAGGCAGUACUGUCAGAAGUUGGUAAGUCCGUUUCAGUUGUGGAAAUCCCAGCUAAUGUCCGGCAAUCAAUGCCUGGGACCAAUGUAGAUCCCUCCGAGACUAUCGCCGCUAUCCCCGCCCACACCGCUGCCCUCGCCGUCCUCCUCAUCCUCACCAUCGUUAUCCAGAAGGCCAUCAUCCAGCCCAAUGGCUUCCGUUCCGUUCUCCUGUCCACUCGGACCAUUGUUGAUGGUGGUUCCCUCGUAGGUAUCGCUGUCGUCCACCAGACAACAGUCCCCGCAGUCAUCCGUCGAGGAGUUGACAUCGUCGCUGAGAUCGUCCAGCAGCGUCACCUUGGGAGUCCGAAACUCAUCCGGACAUCCCACCGAAAGACCGGCGGAGGCAACCGAAAUCUUGAUGUUGCAAUUCGUGGAGGCGUGGCAGGCAUGGGAGUGCGGAAUGGGCUGCUGGACAGUGGCCACCUGGGACGACGCCCCGUGAGCGGGCCGAAAACUCAGAUUUGGCGUCCGCUGACCCAUGCUGGCGAUUCCGGGUGGCAUCUGGGUGUGCGACAUGCUCAACGUGGGCGGCACAUUUAGCACCGCUGCCCCACCGCCCACCUUGUGCUGCGAGUGGGCGUGGCCCGAGUACAUCAGCUGGUGCGUGUCCGAGGCCAAAUUGUGGGCAGUCAGUUGCAGCGGAUGCUGAUCCUUGCGUUCUGUCGAGUGGAGAAAGCAGAAGAGAUGGCAACUAUAAACACUUCAGAUUGCAAAGUAUCUGAAGGAUGCGGACACGGAAGCGGAAGUGCAUUCGAGGACAUGUCGGCGAUUGGUUUAUCGCCUCCACAUUGUGCAGGCAUCUGUGAGGGCCUCAAGUGAAUGAGCCAGCACUUCGCGUCCCCCAUCACUUCCGCUUUCCACUGUCCUGGGCUUUUGCGAAUGGGUAGAUGCGGGAGUAGAAGUAUUCGCUACCCUGCUCUCAAAUGAAAAUGUGCAUGUGCCCAUUAGGGGCGCUACGUGGACGUUUCGUAAAAUCCAAUUAAUUAAAUGGAAAAAUAAGCUGAUUG
This is a non-coding RNA of Drosophila melanogaster (fruit fly), 1241 nucleotides long. NCBI's taxonomy places the organism in Eukaryota, Metazoa, Arthropoda, Insecta, Diptera, Drosophilidae. The record is from Ensembl.